UACGUAGGUGGCAAGCGUUGUCCGGAUUUACUGGGUGUAAAGGGCGCGUAGGCGGGAUUGCAAGUCUGAUGUGAAAUCUAUGGGCUUAACCCAUAAACUGCAUUGGAAACUGUGGUUCUUGAGUGAUGGAGAGGCAGGCGGAAUUCCUAGUGUAGCGGUGAAAUGCGUAGAUAUUAGGAGGAACACCAGUGGCGAAGGCGGCCUGCUGGACAUUAACUGACGCUGAGGCGCGAAAGCGUGGGGAGCAAACAGG
This 253-nucleotide ribosomal RNA is filed under the name uncultured bacterium. RNAcentral describes it as "partial 16S ribosomal RNA". It matches the Rfam family "Bacterial small subunit ribosomal RNA", at positions 524 to 776 of the family's 1533-position model. The record is from RNAcentral.